GAUGAACGCUGGCGGCGUGCUUAACACAUGCAAGUCGAGCGAAGCACUAAAGCGGAUUUCUUCGGAUUGAAGGUUUAGUGACUGAGCGGCGGACGGGUGAGUAACGCGUGGGUAACCUSCCUCAUACAGGGGGAUAACAGUUGGAAACGGCUGMUAAUWCCGCAUAAGCGCACAGUACCGCAUGGUACGGUGUGAAAAACUCCGGUGGUAUGAGAUGGACCCGCGUCUGAUUAGGUAGUUGGUGGGGUAACGGCCUACCAAGCCGACGAUCAGUAGCCGACCUGAGAGGGUGACCGGCCACAUUGGGACUGAGACACGGCCCAAACUCCUACGGGAGGCAGCAGUGGGGAAUAUUGCACAAUGGGGGAAACCCKGAKGCAGCGACGCCGCGUGAGCGAAGAAGUAUUUCGGUAU
RNAcentral lists this ribosomal RNA (414 nucleotides) under uncultured bacterium. RNAcentral describes it as "bacterial SSU rRNA". It matches the Rfam family "Bacterial small subunit ribosomal RNA", at positions 28 to 424 of the family's 1533-position model. The record is from RNAcentral.